UUUUUUUUUCUACACUUUGUGUUUAACCACAAAAACAAACAAAAAAAGGCCACAGUUAAUGGUCAUGGAGUGCUUGAAGGGCAUAUGUCUUCCCUCAUUACAAAGCAAGGAUAUGUCAGACAUGUUUAGCUACAAAACAUACAUGCAGGAAUCACUACGUACCUAGCAGCUGUGAGGAUUAAGCGAUCUGAUCAAUCUUUUCUGUAUCUCUUUUUAAUAAUAAUUAUUUGUACUUUAAAAAAGGAAUAACAUUUUGUCAUCCACAUCUAGGAAUAGGUGUUGUUUUUUUUUUCCCAACAGAACUCAGAAUUCUUAUGGCAAAAAAAGGCCAGAGAGCAGACGAGGUGAAAUGACAGAUUCGGGUAAAACAUGAGCAGCCACCUCACAACAAGCAAGUUCAUUGCGUGACAAUCUUUCUGCACUUCCCCAGGGACUGAGCAGAACGGUUCAAGAAGGAGCAGAUGGAAACAGCUGCCAACAGAUGAGUACUGGAACAGAUUCAAACCACACUACUUGCUGGAACUUGAGAGUUUGUGAUGGCCUGAGCUUACCCAAUGACAGGAGGUGAUUGAAAAGGAAAAUGGGAAGUCAGAGGCAGAUUGUACUUAUGCUGAGAAGCGUGGACAGACUCACCCUAUACACAACAGACAGAAGAUAGAUACUGGGAAAACAGAUCAUUGUGAGGUUAUCUGUCUUUUCAGGCAGAGGACCCGGAAAGUGAAUUUUGGAAAAGGGAGAGAGAAAGACCUGAAUUCUGAGAAUCUGUGGAUACAUUUGGCUAGAAGAUGAGUAUGAGAAGCCUGAGAAAUGGACAUGGUAGUAUUUCACAGAAAAAUAAGAGAUUAACAACUGCUAUGAUGGACCAAAAAAGAGCAUUCUGUAUUAACUAUUUACAGAAAACUAAUUUGGUAGAGGAGAAUCAGCCCCUUGGUCUUAAAUAAAUGAGAGCUUGAUGCAAGAAGAACUUUGAAAUAUUUGGUAGAGCCACAUGUGACUGAUCAAAAUAUUCACCCUAAGCACACAAAACAAGAGCGUUAAGAUUUGCUGGAGAUGGGACUCACUUGCAGAAGAACGUGGCUUUAUUAGAACUUUGGAGACCUUAAUCCAAAGGUUACAAAUUUCCACAGUAAAUGAAGAUAGUCAAGAUUCAGUGUUUUAUAAUCAGUUUCUCAGUGCCAGUGUGAGGCAUGACUUCAAGUGGAGCACAAGUCAACACGUCUGCUUAACUGUUAAGGCAAAACUCUCUCUGUGAAUUACCCAAAAACACACGAGCGCUCGUUUCGUCGCCCGCGUGUUCCAGACCUUCGUCGUUGUUUCUGUGGCCGUGUCGGCGCAGGGGCAGCAGCGGCUCUGGCAGGAGAGCCCCCAAAUGCCCUGGGUCUGGGAACAGACACCGCUCCGCCGUCCCGUCCGGACUCCGAGACCCUCCUCACCCCGCCGCCGGUGGCUGCCCGGCCAGGGCUAGAGGGGGUCCCACGCCGCGGCCCCGGCCGCCUCCCGUGCCCGUCCGCGCCCCGCCGCCCUUACCAGCGCCUGCAGGCAGUAGUGGAGCUCCAGCUGGGCGCCGGUGACGCCGCAGAGCGCCUCCUCCACGGCGGCGGGGAAGCCGUGGCGGACGCGGCUGGCGGGCAGCGGGCGGUGCGCGGGGCAGGCGGGCAGGGUGACGCGGGGCCGCUUGGAGCGCGGCUCAGCCAUGGCCGGCGCCGCCAUGGAGCCACCGCGCCGCCCCGCCGCGCCGCCUCAUAUAGCCCGGGCACCUGGGACACACCUCGCCGCACUCCCCGGCGCCCGCCCGCCCUCGCCGGGGAGGAGGAGAAGGAGGAUGCGGAUGUGGGGGGCCGGGCGGGUGCUGCCAUUUCCUGCGUGCCCGUGGGCAGGCGGAGCGGGGGCUCUGUCCCUCACGGCGAAUGCGGCGCGGAGCGGGAGCGGGCAGGUGCCGGCUGGGCCACUCGCUCCACUGCCCGUUUGUGAACAUCCUAAAUAGUUAAUGAUCGACAUAAAAUACUUACUUUAACUGCAAAGUAGAUGUAUUAACUUGUGCUCUAUUUGAAGUCAUGCUGCACACUUGCUCUGAGGAAGUGGUUAUAAAACACUGAAUUUCGACUAUCCUGUCAUCAGAAACAUCAGUGAGUGACUUCAGGAAGCAAGGAUUAUGCAGAUCCUGUGAUGAAUGUUCUUAAUAAAACAUUCCAGCCUGUACUUUCUCUUGAAUGGUUUAUGGUUGCACAUGUGUAUGUGUCACAGGUUUGCGGUGUUUCAAGAUACCAUAAAAAUAUAAGAGAAAAACAUAAA
Pipra filicauda (Wire-tailed manakin) is the source of this 2292-nucleotide long non-coding RNA. RefSeq lists it as uncharacterized. The record is from RefSeq and is a predicted model, not a curated record. Lineage: Eukaryota; Metazoa; Chordata; Aves; Passeriformes; Pipridae. The transcript is spliced from 7 exons.